UAACAGUUUUCGGGGCGCAUUCGUAUGGUACACAAGUGAUAUAAACGACAAAUAACUAAACUAUUAAUUGUGCGAUACACACGAUCAUUUUGAGUAUUUUCUUUUUAAUAAAUUCAUUUUAAAGAAAAAUUUUUUGCUUAAGUUAUUAAGAUUAUUAUAAUACUGUGUGAUUUUUUGUUGGUUUGUUAAAUAAUAAUAAAAUAAAAUAAAAGUUAGUGAGUGGCUAAAGUCUUUCAAGGAUCUUCUAUUUAACGAACAAAUCGUUUAAAUAUAAGAUCUAAUAGAAGACUGGAAGUAUUAAGCUGUUUUAAAACUGGAUUUUAUGGAGAGAAGAAUCAACUUUAGGAUAUAAAAAGAAAAAAUUGUAUAGUCAAUUAAAGGUUUUACUAUGAGAGGUUUGCCUUUGAACAACUGACUAAUGGUGUGUUUCCGUAAGGGUUAUCUGGGUUGACCGCGACUGUGCUGGUCAUGGAUCGGACAUGUUGCGGUCAACCGGCACCGUACAAUUACGCGGUGGCCUCGGGCCACACUUCAGUUACCGGCACUUGUAAGGGCACAGCUGUUAGCUGCUAUCCCGUUUCGUACGACGGUCGACCGGCGGCGGGCAUAUCGGUUGAAAUGGACGAACCCCAGGGGUGUUUUUGUUGCGACAGCGACGACGACAGCGUAGAACGCGCCCGGUUGGCUCACGAAAAACGCAAGUGCUACAAAAGCUUCGCGAAGAACAUUUUCGUCUGUGCCCUGUUGGUCUCGUACACAUUUGCCGGCGCUUUGAUAUUUUUGAGCAUCGAGGGCGACGUCGGCGACGAAGACGGUGGACCUGUGCGUUUGGCCGGAUUGAUGCCCUCGUCUGCACAAGUGAACAACCUGACGGCCGCACUUUUGGCUGCGGCGGGCCAAGAGAGCAGGGCCCGCACUGUCGAGUCUAUCUGGGAGAUAACCGUCAACCUAAACAUACUGUAUCGGGAGAACUGGACUAGGUUGGCGGCCCAGGAGCUGAAUCGUUUCCAGGAAGAUUUGAUACGGCGGCUGUCUCAACAAAUGGAAAUUGAAUCGGCCGCUGUUAGUUACCACACGAGUAGUUCAGGUAGAGAUAACGGAGACCUAAUCGACACGGGUUUUGAAUGGAAUUUGGCCACAUCGUUUCUGUAUUGCCUUUCUAUACUUACAACAAUAGGAUACGGGAACAUUACACCGAAAACGGCUCUUGGAAAAAUGGCCACUAUGGUCUAUGCACUGAUCGGCAUACCUCUGAUGUUAGUUUACCUGUCGAGUGUCGGCGGACUGUUGGCGUGGUGUGCCAGAGGAAUCUUCACCAGGUCAUUGUGUUGUUGCCUGUGCUCAAAGUGCGGCUACUGUUGUUACGACGAGAAGCUGAUGGAGGAAAAAGAGCGGCGGAUGCGGUUGAAACGAGAGCGCAGGGAGUACGACAUGCAAAUGAAAACGCUUUCGGGACAGGCCCUAGAGCCGUACUACGUGAGACCGGGCGAUUCGGACAGUGUGUUUCAACGGGUAACGGAAAAAUCGACGGCGACACCGGCGUCGUCGUCUUCAGCGACAGCGGACAGCGCGUCGGCCGGUCCGGAGAACGUAAGUUUUGUUCCUUUGCUGUUGGUCGGCUUCGCGUUUAUGUCAGCGUACAUCGCGUGCGGAGCCGCAGUUCUCCAAAAACUGGACGGCGGCAAAUCGUAUCUGGACUGCGUGUUCUUUUGCUUCAUGUUGCUGAGUACCAUUGGCUAUGGCAAUUCCCUGCCGUUGGAGAUGACGCUGACCAACACGGCAACCGUGUGGUUCUGCUCUGUGUACAUACUGUCUGGUAUGGCGUUAACGGCCAUGUGUUUCAAUAUCGUGCACCACGGCGUGUCCACCAAAUUGAAAACUCUACACGACAAUCCACAGCCGUACAACACCGAGCACCGGACUAGUUGUGGCAGCAUUAGCAUCAGCGAUUUAACACACGGCAACAGCGAACACUCUUGACAUCGCCCGCAACUGGACUCCUCGCGCUCGGACGUCCAUCCGUCCGACUCGGGUGCCAAAAUCGUACCGACCACUUCGGCUGCGACGAUGGCUAAUUACAUUGGCCACAACGGGUAUCCGCAGCCCGAAAUCGUGGCUAUCGCCACUGGUAAACCACCGGCAAGCGCCUCGAUGCUUGUGGACGUCGAACCGGUGCCCGUCGAUUGUUUUGACAUCAAGUUCGACGGCGUGUUGGCCAAAGUGCCAUCCGUAUCGGUGGUCGACUUGACCAAUUUGGAAACGAUAACGGAAGCCGACGACUCGGUCGAGAUGUAAAAACCCAUUGACACAUUGUAAUUGUGUAAAAUUAUUAAACCCGCACAGUAUUUAAUCGUUUCUAUUAAUCUAUUUGAUGUUACUUGAAAAAAAAGUCCGACAACAAAAAUCAUUCAUUGUUCGAUGCUAAAUUAAUUUCAGUUUUUCCAUUUAUUACAUCACUUGGCAUAUGCAAAAAUAAAAACAACAAAAAAUGUGGUGUACCGUAAAAUUACUCAAAUCCGUUCCAGUACGUGCACACAAUCGAUGAAUAAAAACAAUGGGACUCGUAUGUAUGUCACGUUAUUGCGACACGAUUUAUACAAGUUAAAUUUAUUGUAAAAAAACACAAAACCUUUUAUACCUUUUAAUGUAAAAAUAUAUAUAUAUAUAUUUAACUAUAAAAUAAUAAUGAACGCAAAAUUUAUCUAAAAAACCAUUUGUUCGAUAAUUUAUAAUGUUUGUUUCUGAGCAAUAACUUUAUAAUUCAUUAUUAUUGUGCGCAUUUAAAAAAUAUAAACAAUAAAAUAAAAAACCCUCAAAAAAUAUAUACACAUAAUUGUAUUCCGUUGAAAAAAUGUCCAAAAUCAUCAAGUUCGAAAGUAAAUAAUUAAGUUUAUUGACAUUUUUGUAAUUAAAAGGAAAACUUCAAAUUCAUAGUUCUAUAAGAUUCUAAGGUACGAAAACACACGAAAUGUUAAAAAAAAAACUCAUAAACAAUAAUUAAGUCAGUAACAGUCAAUUUAAAUAUUUCCCUUCAUUUAAAUAGCCGCCUACGCAUAACUCUGUAUUUUUCAUUUCAGCACAUGACAAAUACGAUAAAUUCUCCAAGUACAAAAAUCUUCCUUGUUUAUUUAUUUGUUUGUUUAGAAUAUAUUUUGUGAACACGAAUAAUUUAGAUUCUACUUUUGAAACUGUGACUAAUAAUUACAUCUUUAGAAUUUACAGUUUUAUUAUUUUCGUUUUAUACAUCAACCUGUAUAAAUUAAAAAAAAUCAGCAAAUUGAAUGAUAAUCAUAAUUAAAAAAAAAGUGAUUUGUAAUUUUUUUUUAAUUAAAUCAUUUUCAAAGCGAUCCAAACCUAUAAAGAGAUUAUAUUAGUGCUAUUGACUCUGUAUAAAAUAAUCUGAGCCCUAAAUCUCUUCUUCAUUCCCAAAUUUACGCCAAGAUACUAAUCGCACACAUUUUUUAUUUCACAAUUUUCAAUACAUACACACAAAAUCAACAAGAUUAUUCGUUGUCACUAUACAACCUACAGUUUUUUGUCAAAUAAAACUUAUUUUUUUAUUACUUUAAUAAACAUUUCUAAAACAAGCAAUGUUUUUCAUUUUAAUUAUAGCCACAAAAUAAUUUUAUUUUUAUAUAUUGACAGUCAUUUUAUCGAUAUGUCUACAUUACUAUUGUCAUUGUUAUAAUUUAUUCAUUCGAACAAUAUCACUGAAUGGUCGGCUGCGUUUUAAAUACACUGUUUCCAUAGAUUUCUUACAAAACAUACAUUUCUAUUGUAAAGUUAAGUUUGUCAACGUUUUUAAAGUAAUAUCACUAAAUCUACUACCACUCUUGAGAAUAUCUCAUAUUCACAGAAGCAAGUUGUCAAAAUUACUUUAUAAAUAAGAUGUUGGGAAUCAAGAAAUUAAUUUGCCCAAGUUAAUUGGUAAACUAUGAUUUUAAUAAUCCUAAUUUUAGCAAGAGAUAUUUAAGUGAGUAAAUCACAGUGGCCAUCCUACUGUAGACCCAAUUAUAAGUAUUACCACUAAAGUGGUGGAAAUUCAACGACCAGGUGUUGAGGAAGACUUAACAGAAUACUUAUACACUCGGUUUUAAUAACAUGGAUUAUUUACGAUUAACGAUGAAACAAUACAGAAACACGGAAAACGUAAGGGUUAUUGCAAGGAAGCCUUUAAGUUGGAACAUAAAACGCUAAAUGAAAAUUGUAUACAAUAUAAACCUACCUAAUUGUAGCGAUUUAUUUAUAUUUGUUUUAAUCUUCCAUUUCUCUAAAUUCACAUGCGUUGUACAUACCGUCUAAAAUGAACUUUUAUAAUCUUUUUUUACCGCCAGAUCUACCAUACUUAGUGAAGUGCACCUAACGAUUAACCAAAACUUGCCCAAGUUAUCUUUGAAUACCUUGUUUCCACGACAUUUACACAAUUAGUGGGCGCGACUAUCUUUAAACGACCAAAACCAAUUGGUAAUUAAUCCAAGUUUAAGGAAUUAAUAACUUUGUGGGUUAUUCAGACUAACCUUUCUUUCGAUAAACUAUAAUGGAGAUUCAACAAAUCAAAAUUACUGUAUUGAAAUUAUCUCCUAGCCCAAUUAUUAAACAAAGGUUCGCAUUUUUUUUUUGACAUCAAAGGACAUUAGAACGGACAUGAAGUAUGAUGAAACCCUUUCAAUGGCGUAUUUAAGAUUUCGCUGUCCUCAAUAUAAUAAAU
Daktulosphaira vitifoliae (grape phylloxera) is the source of this 4708-nucleotide RNA transcript. It is a transcript of the gene named potassium channel subfamily K member 18-like, with no coding region annotated. Lineage: Eukaryota; Metazoa; Arthropoda; Insecta; Hemiptera; Phylloxeridae. The transcript has 7 exons. The record is from RefSeq and is a predicted model, not a curated record.